This 253-nucleotide ribosomal RNA is filed under the name uncultured bacterium. RNAcentral's name for it is "partial 16S ribosomal RNA". It matches the Rfam family "Bacterial small subunit ribosomal RNA", at positions 524 to 776 of the family's 1533-position model. The record is from RNAcentral.
UACAGAGGUCUCAAGCGUUGUUCGGAUUCAUUGGGCGUAAAGGGUGCGUAGGUGGCGCUGUAAGUCGGGUGUGAAAUUUCGGAGCUUAACUCCGAAACUGCAUUCGAUACUGCGGUGCUUGAGGACUGGAGAGGAGACUGGAAUUCAUGGUGUAGCAGUGAAAUGCGUAGAGAUCAUGAGGAAGACCAGUGGCGAAGGCGGGUCUCUGGACAACACCUGACACUGAGGCACGAAAGCUAGGGGAGCAAACAGG